This is a long non-coding RNA of Quercus lobata, 3339 nucleotides long. RefSeq lists it as uncharacterized. Lineage: Eukaryota; Viridiplantae; Streptophyta; Magnoliopsida; Fagales; Fagaceae. The transcript is spliced from 4 exons. The record is from RefSeq and is a predicted model, not a curated record.
UAAUUAAACCCCUAAGUUUCUACGGUUGUACUCAACUGUUGAUCAAAAUAAGGAAAUUAACCUACUUAUUUCCACAUUGGCACAACUGUUGAAACAAAUGUAAAAAAAGAUUAUAUAAAAGUUUUAUUCAGGGGCUUGAUGAAUGUAGAAGAUAAACUACGUCUUUUUUUUGAUGAACAGAAGAUAAACUACAUCUUCUAUCUACGAUUAUCAGUGUUGAAAAUUAGAAACACGGAACUUAUAUAAAGCUAUAGAACAAAUCAAAGUUUUAUAGGUAGCUCUCACAGUUUCUCAUUUUCUCUCUAGUAGCUCAAAUCUCUCUCAGACAAAACUUAGAAAUUUCAAAGCCAAUUUCAUAGCUCUCAAUCAUGGAAAUUUCGAAGCUCUAGGUCAUGGCAAUUUCAUAGCUAUUGGUCUCUCAAUGCGGUGGCUCUGUCUCAUCGUCACUCACAAAAUCGAAGUCGAAGUCUUCUGUCAACUCCUCUACUCUUCGCCUACCUCAUCUAAAUCUCCUCCAAUUUUCUAGGGUUUCAAGCUCAGUCGCCACUGCGACAUGAAGAUCAUUUUGCCUGAUUCGUCUCGAUUCUUCCAUGGAGGCAAAUUCGAGUCUACUACAAAGGAUGGUCAAGCUAAUAAAGAGAAGUAUGAAAAAGAAUUUAAGGAUUCAGCAGCCAGCGAACUCAUGCAAGCAGAGGAGGUGGCAAUGUUGGAUAAGUUUCUGUAUGGUUGUAGGGGCUUUAGUGGAAGGAAAAUAAAUAGGAUUGGGAAUGGAGCAAAUUUGGCGCAGGAAACUCUUUCUCUUAGCCCAUUUAAAUAUAAGGGAACUUCUUUGCAAACCUGCCACAGCCACUAAAUAAUGUUGGUGGCCAGGGGCAGAACUGCAUAGAGAAACUUUGCAAAAAUUCAACUUUCACCUUGUAGCUAAACUUUUCAAAAAUAUAUAUGGUUCCUCCUCCCCACCCCCCCACCAAUUGAAAUUCUAGUUCCACCCCUGUUGGUGGCUGUUGUGAAAAUUAAUGAAGUUAGGCUGGGUGGAGCCCUCUGUGGCAUAAAGAUUUUAUACCUGUAACAUCAUUAAACCAUUUGGCACUUAAAAAUUUAAGAUAUGUUACUUACCUUUUCUUUUUUUCUUUUUUUAAAUUUUGAAAAACCUUUGACUUACUACAUUAUUCACUAAAACUAUUGCAUAUAGGAAUGUACCCAUUUCUUGGGAUCCAUAUGGGCAUCCGUGUUUUAAUAAUCAUGUGAAAAUGCCUAGCCUACUUAUACGAAGACUAAUGAGUAUUUUUUUUCUGACUCAGCGUUGGAUUUGUAGUGUAUUUCACAAUGUAAAGAAAAGAAAAUAUGAUAUAGAUGGAGAAAGAGAUUCUCUUUAUUAGUAGGAUAAGGACAAACUGAAAAGUAAGAAAGAAGGAGAAAAACACAGAGCUUAAAAUCCAAAAACUUGGAAGUUCAGUUUCGUAAGUGUCAUUCCCCUCCUUGUUUUGUGGUUUGUCUGUCUUGAAGCAUUUCCAGUUAUCAACUAAUCAAAAUUUCUUUUGGCCUUAAAAGAUUAUAUGCAUCUUUUUUCCAUGUGUCUUCUCUUGAAAAUAAUUUGCUGAUAAGUUCAGUAUUUCAGCAUCUUUUUUCCAUAUCAAUUGCGUGACUAAUUUGGAUAAACUGCAACCUGCAAUCAACCUUUUUUUACUGCUUCAAGUCUUUGGCCGGUUGCCUUGUUUUUCAUGUUUCCACAAAGUAAUUUAAAUGUUGUAUUAGAAUCCUUUGGUUUGUCAUUUGUGUUUGGUAGGCCUUGUCACUGGGAAUUCCUUGUCUGAGUAGACCCCACACCCUUUGAACAAUUCACUGAGAGCUUCUUGUGAAAUUUUUCAUACGCAAGAUAUUUCUUUCUUGUCCUAUCCGCUUCCCACUGUAAGUUCUUCAUAGCUUCACCCUCACCCCCUCAAAGAGUUAGAAAAUAUAAAUUCAGCCAGUUAAGUUUAAAUGUAAAAGGGACUGAGAUGUCUAUGAUAUCCCACCAUAAGAAUUUUUACAAAAUUUGUCAACAUGUAAAAACCAUAUUAUGGAUGAAUGAUUUUACUUAAUAUAAAUUAAAUAGUCAUUUCCUAUUUGACUUUUAAUUUUAAAAAUUUAAGGCAUUUUAAUUUUGUCAACUGUUUUGUCAAUUAGGUACUUAUUUUGUCUAAUAAUAACUUGAAUUUUUUUCUUAUGUUGAUAUGUAUUGUGUUAAACAGGACUAGUUUGAGCAAUAUCAUGAGCGGGUGAUUGAGGCUGAGCAUGUGAUACUGAGUACUCUAAAUUUUGAACUUAAUAUGCAACAUCCAUAUGCUCCUCUAAGCUAACCUAUUUUGUUAAGAUCUCUAAGCUAUAGGUUGAAGUGAAAAAGUGCUUAACUGCCUUGAAAUAGUAGUAGUCAAUGGUCAAGUAGGUAAGGCUAUAUAGUAAGGGAUGGGGAGAGGAUGGUGGGGAUCCCUGUGAGGAGUCAUGGACAGGAGUGUAAUUUUUUGAUUCAUUUGCUAUAACCCUUCUAUGUUCCACAACCCUUUAUGCAGUAAAAUUCAAGGACUAAACCUACUGGAGGCCAGCUUAAUAACCUGCAUCAUUUGAAACACCUGUAAGUGAAUAUGUCUUGUUAUAUUUAUCUCUUAUUGAAGUUGUACCAGCAUUGUCUAUAUAAUUCUUUAUUCUGGAUUCUUCGUUAGGGAUGUCAGCUACAAUAACAUUCAAGGUGAAAUUCUAUACAACUUACCUCCCAAUGCCACAAAUAUGUAGGAUGUCUGAUUUGUAAACUGUGAUUCCUGUAUGCUUAGCUUUUCUUUCUUUCAAGUUUUUGGUGAUUAUUCUACUUUUUCAUGAAUGCAAGAAUAUGGCAUACAACUAUUUGAGACAAAAUAUUCCCCACUCUCUACCAGUCAUGAAAUGUCUCUAACAUCAGUGAGUUACUUCUCCCCCCAAGUGCCUAUUUACUGAAUUGCUUUUGCUUUUUGGUUAUUCAAUCAGAAUCUCUUAAUUCUUUUCUUGUAGAAAUCUAAACCACAAGUAGUUAUCUGGACCAAUUGACAAUGUCUUUACUGGCUUACAGAAUCUUAGAGAGAUGUAUGUGUUCUGCACCUGAUCCUUAUAUUUCCUUUUCCUUGGUGUUUGAAGUGAAAAGAAAAUAAUGCCAAGUACAAAGAGGAUGUUGUUGAUGCUAGUAGAACCUUGAGAGAAGUUGGUGAUGAUCUUGAUGAAGUUAUGUAGCAAAUUAUGCAACAAACAAGAACUCUCCAAAUACCUUUUAGUGUACAAGGAUUGGCUAUUGUAAAUACUUGUAAGUGUACUAUUCAAAACAGGUUUUGUGUA